Alnus glutinosa is the source of this 1590-nucleotide long non-coding RNA. RefSeq lists it as uncharacterized. The record is from RefSeq and is a predicted model, not a curated record. The transcript is spliced from 3 exons. Lineage: Eukaryota; Viridiplantae; Streptophyta; Magnoliopsida; Fagales; Betulaceae.
UUCGGGAGAAGUGAAAAAAAAAUUAGAGAGGGGGAUGACAGUGUUGACGUUUUUUCCUUCGGCGUCUCCCGCUUCUUUCUGUCAUCUGCCUCUCCGCGUCUCCCUUUCUCUCUGUGUCGCGCUCAAGAAUUGUGGAAGUUGUGGGAGAUUUGAUGAUGGGCGAUUGGCUGAUAAGAAUAAGGGUUUCAACAGUUUAACUCACGAAAGCGUCAUCGAUUUGGGUCCAAUUUGUUUUGGGGCUUUUCUUCUUCACCACCAAAAGGCAAUUUCGUACAGAUCAGUUUUUCAUUUUCAUUCAUAUUUUUCUGGGCUCUUGCAUCCACGAAAUUCAGGGUGGAGAACACAAAGUAUGUGUUGCUUUGUGUUCAGAUGCCAUAAAUUCCCAAUCUUUACAUUCUCCUUAUAUUCCUUUAGGUAUGCCCAGAGUCCUAGAUGAAAGUUUCCCGUCUGUGGUGGUUUUUUCAUAGCCAUCUUCAAUCAUGUCCCAGAGGUUUUGUGAGACGAAGAGGGCCUUCUGCCUUCAUUUGGCUGCUGCUGUAGUCAUUGUUCUCUCCUUCAAAAAUUGGUUGGUUGUUUGUACACUUGUUAGUGAUGGUGCAAAGCAUACGAUAAAUGCUAAUGUAUUUGGUUUUAUAUCAGGGUUUGGUUAGUGAAAGAUGUUAAACUGCUGCUGCCAGAGUAGCUUUGUGUUUUGGUUUCAUCCAAAAUUGUGUAUAUUCAUUCUUAGGGAGGGAUUAAGGUAGGUUUAGUUUUCCAGAUAAAUUCAAACAGGUAGUGUUGACAAUAUGGGUGGUUCUUGUGCGCCUUUUUGGUUGUGCAGUGGACUCCUGACAUUGCCCCCUUUGUGCAGUUCUGAGGAUGAACCGGAUGCAACGUUGAAUGUGUCCAUGAAGGCGUGCAUCUCCAAAAACUAUAUACAUGUCUUUGUUCUCAUAUUCUGAAUGAAUGUUGCAGAGAACUUUCCAAUGAACUGAUUUUCGUGGUGUUUGGUGGACUUGAUGUCUUUAUUCUCAUAUUCUUGCAUUUGUGUACGCAAGCAUUGCAUUACUAUUCGUUUGAGAAUAAAUGGCAGUUAAAAAAUUAUUGUUUAGAAAAAUGCUAGUUUUAACAAAACAACCGUUUGAAAAGAAAGGACAGUUGAAAAAUACGAUCGUUAAUAAAGAAAUAAAGAAAGAAUAAAGGAAGCAUAUCUAGAUAAUAUAGAGAAUAAUAGAUAAUUGGAUGUAUGAUGCCUUUUAAAACCCAUUAGCUAAAAUAGAUAAAGUAGGUUUUGGUUAGCCACUUUACAUAUAAAAAUGCAUAAGCAAUUGAGAGUGCUCUUACCUACCCAAAUUCUUAAUGAUCCUAAUUUGGCUAACCUAGAGAGUGAUAGAAAGGUUUGAGUGUACGCACUCAAAACAUUUUUAAGAAUCUUUCACUACAAUUAACAAUUAAGAAUGAAGGAGAUUUUAUCCUCGUUUUACCUUACAUUACAUUGUACAUUUGGACUACGGCUUAUGUGCAUCCUUUGUCGUUUAGUUUUGAUGUCUUUCUUGCUCGUUUUUCUCGUUCUAAUUAGGUGUUUCCUUUGUAUACUCCCGGUGUAUUAAG